RNAcentral lists this transfer RNA (72 nucleotides) under Bos taurus (domestic cattle). It matches the Rfam family "tRNA". From Rfam's summary of the family: Transfer RNA (tRNA) molecules are approximately 80 nucleotides in length. Their secondary structure includes four short double-helical elements and three loops (D, anti-codon, and T loops). RNAcentral also lists the same sequence under 1 other name. Lineage: Eukaryota; Metazoa; Chordata; Mammalia; Artiodactyla; Bovidae. The record is from Rfam by way of RNAcentral.
UCCCUAAUAGCUCAGUGGGUAAAGAAUCUGCCUGCAAUGCAGGAGACCCCGGUUUGAUCCCUGGUUUGGGAA